CAGAAUCUGAACCUGGGUCUCCCACGGGGAGUAGGUAACAGGAGGGAUCUGAACCACGGGGAGUAGCUAACAGGAGGGAUCUGAACCACGGGGAGUAGUAACAGGAGGGAUCUGAACCACGGGGAGUAGCUAACAGGAGGGAUCUGAACCUGGGUCUCUCACGGGGAGAAACCAAGUAGGAGAAUGGAUUACUAGGCCGCGUUGGCGGAGUGAAAGGUGAUUUUAGUUUUUAUCACCGGGCUGCUUCCCGGGUGUGAGUCAGGUGUUCAAAGCCCACGGAGAAGAUGGCUCAAAACAAAAAGUGACCUAGGUGAUGCAUGUAGACUAGACUAAUGAGUAGAGGAUGCUGUGUUUUCACAUGCUGAAGUGGGGCUUUUGAUUUAAAAAAAUGGUUUAUUUGCCUGAAAAUGUAGUAUUCUUACCUCAGGAAGUUGGUGGCUCCUGAAUCAGGGAGAACGGGCUCGUGGUAAAGGCUGGAGCGGAAUCAGUGGGAAUGUUAGAAAAUACAUCACACACACGGUUUCCACGGUUUCCAUGUGUUGGAUGACACUCCAUUUGCUCCGUUCCGACAAUUAUUAUGAGCCGUUCUCUCCUCAGCAGCCUCCGAAGUGUCUUACAUAUAUUUUAAAGAUUACUGUUCUAUUUGAGCAGGGUGCACCUCCCUCACCGGUUUCACCCAGUCACGUGACAGGCCAUUCACCCUGGGGCAGUUGAAUCAAAUCCCCUCAGUGUCCUGACCAUUAGACCAUAGCCCCUGGGGCAGGUUAAUCAAAUCCCCUCAGUGUUCUGACCAUUAGACCAUAGCCCCUGGGACAGGUUAAUCAAAUCCCCUCAGUGUUCUGACCAUUAGACCAUAGCCCCUGGGGCAGGUUAAUCAAAUCCCCUCAGUGUUCUGACCAUUAGACCAUAGCCCCUGGGGCAGGUUAAUCAAAUCCCCUCAGUGUUCUGACCAUUAGACCAUAGCCCCCGGGGCAGGUUAAUCAAAUCCCCUCAGUGUCCUGACCAUUAGACCAUAGCCCCUGGGGCAGGUUAAUCAAAUCCCCUCAGUGUCCUGACCAUUAGACCAUAACCCCGGUUCACCCUGGGGCAGGUUAAUCAAAUCCCCUCAGUGUCCUGACCAUUAGACCAUAACCCCGGUUCAACCUGGGGCAGGUUAAUCAAAUCCCCUCAGUGUCCUGACCAUUAGACCAUAACCCCGGUUCACCCUGGGGCAGGUUAAUCAAAUCCCCUCAGUGUCCUGACCAUUAGACCAUAGCCCCGGUUCACCCUGGGGCAGGUUAAUCAAAUCACCUCAGUGUUCUGACCAUUAGACCAUAGCCCCGGUUCAACCUGGGGCAGGUUAAUCAAAUCCCCUCAGUGUCCUGACCAUUUGAACAAGAGGAAUUCCCCCUCUUUGACCUGUUACCCUGAUUACUUUUGAAGUCCCGGGCAGAACUGCCUCAUCAGGAGGAGCCAAACUCACGACAUCAGGAUGCCAGUAGGUCAAGUACUCAAUUCACAGCUUGUAUUCAACUUGAAUAAUAAAUACAUGGUUCUAAAUGCAUCUAUUUCACAGGUUCGAUUUAAAAAGCUCCAUGACGACAUGUUCAGAACUCUUAGGAUGUGUUUAUUGUCUGGUGGAGUCAAGUGGAAAUAUAUUAUCAGGUUUCAAGGUUUUGAGUUCAUUGAUUGGAACAACCUACCGCAAACUUUUAGCCUUCAGUCCUGUUUCCCCUUUAAAACGCUAACAUGCCCUCGAACCAACCUCCUUCCUGUUGCCUCGAACGAACCUCCUUCCUGUUGCCCCCAACGAACCUCCUUCCUGUUGCCCCCAAUGAACCUCCUUCCUGUUGCCCCCAACGAACCUCCUUCCUGUUGCCCCCAACGAACCUCCUUCCUGUUGCCCCCAACGAACCUCCUUCCUGUUGCCCCAACGAACCUCCUUCCUGUUUCCCUCAAACCAACCUCCU
Molecule: long non-coding RNA, 1949 nt
Organism: Oncorhynchus keta (chum salmon)
Lineage: Eukaryota; Metazoa; Chordata; Actinopteri; Salmoniformes; Salmonidae
Exons: 4
Source: RefSeq, a predicted model, not a curated record